Alnus glutinosa is the source of this 1102-nucleotide long non-coding RNA. RefSeq lists it as uncharacterized. NCBI's taxonomy places the organism in Eukaryota, Viridiplantae, Streptophyta, Magnoliopsida, Fagales, Betulaceae. The transcript is spliced from 2 exons. The record is from RefSeq and is a predicted model, not a curated record.
UUCAACCCUAUACUUAAAAGGCUCUUAAACCCAAACCCUAAAAGGAGUUUCUCCUAUAAAAAAAAACACGAUCUAUAUCUCCGCAAGUUCUGAACUCCAAUUGGAUCUAAAUAAUGAUUGGUGGGUUGAGGAUGUUUUUCUCGGUGAUGAACAAAAAAUGAUGACGAGUCCGAUCUCUGUUAUUCCAUUCUUUUGUGACGACAAAUCGAGGCAUUUGUCUGAGAGAGAACUCCGUACCCUUUUCAUUGUCGUACUCUUUUUGUGUUUGUUUUUUAAUGUUGGGUUUUAGUUUCUCUCAGCAGAUUUGGUUUUGGGUUUGAUUAAUUUGUGAGAUUGUCAGGCAUAAUGAUGAGAGAUUAUCAUAUCUGAUACUUUCAGUGAUGAGCUAAUUACCUCCUACUCAUACUGAAUGCCUGCUAAUAAGCCUUUUAUUAUUAUUAUUAUUAUUAUUAUUAAUUUGUUUGUGUUCUUUUGUUUUUGAUUUACGUUGUCUCUUGAUCCUAGUGUGUUGGGGAGAGAGAUGGACGAGGUAGCGAUGAUGAGAAAGCAAUCUCACUCUCUCUGUUGGAUUGAGGAGCUCCGAUGAUUUGUGUUUCAAGCACUUUUGAGCUGCUCUCUCUCUCUCUCUCUCUCUCUCUCUCUCUGUGUUAUUUCCCGCUGAUGCACGUCGUGGUUCUAAACCGAUUGAUCUACCGGUGUGCUCCUUGGUUGUGGUUGUAGACCUGCAGUUUCAACUUUCAAGAUGUCCUUUUGUCCUUAGAAAGGGGAGACUGUGUUUUGUUUGACUGAAAUCAAUCAAACUGGGACUUAACAUUCAUCUUUCCCAGAUUACCUCCCUGGAUCGUUGGAUUUGGGCCUUCUCUUUCAUGACAGUUUUCUCUAAAGUCAGCCCAUGAAGCAAUUAUCCAAGCCCAGCCCUUUAGACUUUAGAGUUGGCAGAUUUGGAUGGCCUUUUAAGCAUUUACUUUUAAAAGUUGUUUGGAAAUUGGAAUUCCCCGCGGGUUCUGUCCAACAUUGGCAGAUUCAUCCGAUCAAGGAAUAUGGAUGACUAGAAUUGUCCUAUUUGGUCAAAAAACUAUUCAACACAUUUUUAGCUUCCUAA